AGCGAACGCUGGCGGCAGGCCUAACACAUGCAAGUCGAACGGAUCCUUCGGGAUUAGUAGCGGACGGGUGAGUAACACGUGGGAACGUGCCCUUUGGUUCGGAACAACUCAGGGAAACUUGAGCUAAUACCGGAUGUGCCCUUCGGGGGAAAGAUUUAUCGCCAUUGGAGCGGCCCGCGUCUGAUUAGCUAGUUGGUGAGGUAACGGCCCACCAAGGCGACGAUCAGUAGCUGGUCUGAGAGGAUGAUCAGCCACACUGGGACUGAGACACGGCCCAGACCCCUACGGGAGGCAGCAGUGGGGAAUCUUGCGCAAUGGGCGAAAGCCUGACGCAGCCAUGCCGCGUGAAUGAUGAAGGUCUUAGGAUUGUAAAAUUCUUUCAGCGGGGACGACAAUGACGGUACCCGCAGAAGAAGCUCCGGCUAACUUCGUG
RNAcentral lists this ribosomal RNA (433 nucleotides) under uncultured bacterium. RNAcentral's name for it is "partial 16S ribosomal RNA". It matches the Rfam family "Bacterial small subunit ribosomal RNA", at positions 29 to 507 of the family's 1533-position model. The record is from RNAcentral.